This 253-nucleotide ribosomal RNA is filed under the name uncultured bacterium. RNAcentral's name for it is "partial 16S ribosomal RNA". It matches the Rfam family "Bacterial small subunit ribosomal RNA", at positions 99 to 353 of the family's 1533-position model. The record is from RNAcentral.
CGGACGGGUGAGUAAUGUCUGGGAAACUGCCUGAUGGAGGGGGAUAACUACUGGAAACGGUAGCUAAUACCGCAUAACGUCGCAAGACCAAAGAGGGGGACCUUCGGGCCUCUUGCCAUCANAUGUGCCCAGAUGGGAUUAGCUAGUAGGUGGGGUAACGGCUCACCUAGGCGACGAUCCCUAGCUGGUCUGAGAGGAUGACCAGCCACACUGGAACUGAGACACGGUCCAGACUCCUACGGGAGGCAGCAUG